RNAcentral lists this ribosomal RNA (446 nucleotides) under uncultured bacterium. Its description in RNAcentral is "bacterial SSU rRNA". It matches the Rfam family "Bacterial small subunit ribosomal RNA", at positions 12 to 507 of the family's 1533-position model. The record is from RNAcentral.
UUUGAUCUGGCUCAGAACGACGCUGGCGGCAUGCCUAACACAUGCAAGUCGAACGAGACCUUCGGGUCUAGUGGCGCACGGGUGCGUAACGCGUGGGAAUCUGCCCUUGGUUCGGAAUAACAGCGAGAAAUUGCUGCUAAUACCGGAUAAUGACGUAAGUCCAAAGAUUUAUCGCCAAGGGAUGAGCCCGCGUAGGAUUAGCUAGUUGGUGUGGUAAAGGCGCACCAAGGCGACGAUCCUUAGCUGGUCUGAGAGGAUGAUCAGCCACACUGGGACUGAGACACGGCCCAGACUCCUACGGGAGGCAGCAGUGGGAAGUAUUGGACAAUGGGCGAAAGCCUGAUCCAGCAAUGCCGCGUGAGUGAUGAAGGCCUUAGGGUUGUAAAGCUCUUUUACCCGGGAUGAUAAUGACAGUACCGGGAGAAUAAGCUCCGGCUAACUCCGUG